Non-coding RNA from Pelobates cultripes (western spadefoot toad), 219 nucleotides. NCBI's taxonomy places the organism in Eukaryota, Metazoa, Chordata, Amphibia, Anura, Pelobatidae. The record is from the annotation of a GenBank genome assembly.
GCUUUAUGUCACAGGGAUCAUAUUAUUUGUAAAACAGGAAAAAAAGAUGUUUUGCACAGUGACUCAUAAAACUUAUAAAAACUUUACAAGAAAAAAAAAAAAAGCAAUAGAAACAAGAGAGAUGAUCUACUUGGCAUCAGCUACAAUUUCUUGAAUUCCAUGGUCCAGUAAUGCAAAAUUAUCUUCCAUCUAAAUCAGCCAGAUUAACAUAGGGGCUAU